UCGCAAACCAUUCCGACCCACAA
Molecule: unclassified non-coding RNA, 23 nt
Filed under: Mus musculus (house mouse)
Lineage: Eukaryota; Metazoa; Chordata; Mammalia; Rodentia; Muridae
Description: oocyte_clustered_small_RNA7202
Source: RNAcentral